CAGCCCGGUCCGGCUACCUAGGAGAGCUUAGGGCCCCUAGGUCCGACGGGAAAGUUGGGUCGGGCACUGACCCCAGGGACAGGGCGCAUGGUGAAGGAGCUGUGGCCACCGGAGGCUAAGACCGUAGGGAGAGGACUCCAUAAACAGCAGGCAGAUGUUAGCAACAGGACGGGCCUGCGGGAGCCGAGGGCGCCCAGCAACGCCGGUGUUUGUCAACAUGGGAUGGGGCCGACCUGGCCCCCAGUCUUGGGAGUCAUCCAACAAGACUUACCAGCUUUAUCACUGGCAAAGUCCCCUAGGCUCAGUCGCUGCAGGGGGAAGUCAACACCAACAGAACUUUUUUUAAUGGAGCCUCUAGAUGCAGAAAACCGAUUCAGGUCUAGGUGCCAGUUAAGGAACAUAUGGAGUGAUAGGGGAACAAGGUAUGAAGUCUGCAGAUAAAAAGCCUGGGUGGGAUGUCAUGCCCUGUCUCUACCAGAUGAAAUAUCAGGCCCUCUUCAAAUCCUACCUUCAACCUCAAAGAGCAAGACUGGAAGGGCCCAAGGAGAGAAUGUCUACAGGAACAACAAUGAGAUGAUAGGGAAUGACUCAGGACACGUUCCCUUACCUUCAGUAAGUUCUUGCUGGGUCCGGCCUCCACUAGGCACCUCUAACCGAAAGUCUCUGCGAAGACAGAAGUCCCGAAGAGGCCGUGU
Long non-coding RNA from Monodelphis domestica (gray short-tailed opossum), 695 nucleotides. RefSeq lists it as uncharacterized. The record is from RefSeq and is a predicted model, not a curated record. Lineage: Eukaryota; Metazoa; Chordata; Mammalia; Didelphimorphia; Didelphidae.